CACGCAGGCGGUCUUGCCAGUCAGGGGUGAGAGCCCGAGGCUCAACCUCGGAACUGCCUCUGAUACUGCAGGACUUGAGACUAGGAGAGGGUGGUGGAAUUCCCAGUGUAGAGGUGAAAUUCGUAGAUAUUGGGAGGAACACCAGAGGCGAAGGCGGCCACCUGGACUAGAUCUGACGCUCAGGUGCGAAAGCGUGGGGAGCAAACA
RNAcentral lists this ribosomal RNA (207 nucleotides) under uncultured bacterium. Its description in RNAcentral is "partial 16S ribosomal RNA". It matches the Rfam family "Bacterial small subunit ribosomal RNA", at positions 568 to 774 of the family's 1533-position model. The record is from RNAcentral.